Molecule: unclassified non-coding RNA, 1312 nt
Filed under: Hevea brasiliensis (rubber tree)
Lineage: Eukaryota; Viridiplantae; Streptophyta; Magnoliopsida; Malpighiales; Euphorbiaceae
Source: RNAcentral
UUAAAUGGAGUCCAGAAAAAUGAUCACCCCAGAUAUCAUAUUUAUAUUUAUCCCCUACCUUUUCUUCUACUUUUUUCUGGUUAUGAAGUUUGGGCCCAGGAGCUCGAACAUGAGGAGCAAUUGUAGAUUUUGAAGCUGGAGAAGAAGAGUACAGCAGAUUGGGGGGCUGUACCCAAUCACCAGAAGGAAAAGUGGCAGAAGGCAACGAAACAGGUUUGCCAUUAGUUUUUCUUGGCACUAAGAGUUCCCCUGGAAUAGAAGAGAAGCAAUCAGUACUGCACCAUUUUAAAGAAACCUUGGGCUCCAAUACAGAUGCCUUGGAAGUAGAUUCAGCCACUUGAACCUGCUCACCCUGUUGGUCAGCCACUUGAACAAAUGGAUUUCUUGCCUCAUUAGGGUCCAUGUCAGGAGAUGGUGACCAAGUACGCUUAGGAGUCGCAUUUGUUACAGGAGAUAGAGGCGAUGAAGGUGUGGAAUUCCCACUUUGACUACUUGAGACUUCAAACAGUCCUGUUAAACCUGCAGCAACACCUCUUUUCUUCCUCCGCCUUCUUCCGUUCUCUUUUCCAAUCCUGACAGUAAGGUUAUAAGGUUGGGAAGCUUCAAGAGCAUAAGAAUUCUCAACUGCUACAGAUUUUGAAAGCAAAGAUUGCACUGCUUUGUGAUUUUCAAGAGUUGGCAUCCCAUUCUCAACGGUUAUCCCAUGGUCUGGGCCUCCACGUUGACUAUCAGGAUAUCUAUAACCAGCCGCCUGCUUUGAGGUUUUGCCUUCUGCAACUGAUCUUAACAAACCAUCCAUUUCAGCGGGCAUAGAUGACUUGUUGGUUUUCUGAUUAAGAUCCAAGCAAGCUGACUUACCUGAACUUCUCACUGUAGUAUUGGUCAAUUGGGGAAAUAUGCAACGAAAGAUCAGGAACAUCAAAGAAGCAGAAAGAAACACCACUGCAGAGAAUUUCUUCAAUCGCAUCCAGAAUACUGAUUUCCUGCAAAGAUUGAAUGUGUAUAAAGGGAAACUUGCCUUCAUGGGUAUCACAAAAAUUCCAUUACUCAAGGUCAGUUUGAGAUCUCUUUGUAACAUUGCCGCAUAAAAAUCAGACUGGUAUGAUAUCAGAAGUUUUGUUGACUCGCCUGGUUUAAGCGAAAAACCAUUACAAUUAUGAACCGUAAACCCAUCCAACCCACACUCUGUUCCAGAAACUUGAAUGCUUUUCACCUCAAGAGGCAAGUCUCCUGUGUUUUUGGCAUACAGCUCUUUUGACAGUGGCUGAGAACAAGCAUAAGUGGUCUCUUCCACGUGAGAUACCAGGUCUGG